UACGGAGGAUCCGAGCGUUAUCCGGAUUUAUUGGGUUUAAAGGGUGCGCAGGCGGGAUGUUAAGUCGGCGGUGAAAUUUUGCAGCUCAACUGUAAAAGUGCCUUCGAUACUGGCUUUCUUGAGUGUGGAUGAAGUAGGCGGAAUUUGUGGUGUAGCGGUGAAAUGCUUAGAUAUCACGAGGAACUCCGAUUGCGCAGGCAGCUUACUAAACAACUACUGACGCUCAUGCACGAAGGCGUGGGGAUCAAACAGGAUUAGAUACCCCGGUA
Molecule: ribosomal RNA, 269 nt
Filed under: uncultured prokaryote
Description: partial 16S ribosomal RNA
Rfam family: Bacterial small subunit ribosomal RNA
Source: RNAcentral